GGCCUUGUAGCUCAGCUGAUAGAGCGUACGUUGUAGAAAAUCGCAGGCGGCGUCCAUGCGUGAGUUUGAAUCCCACCGAGGUUA
This 84-nucleotide transfer RNA is filed under the name Echinostoma caproni. It matches the Rfam family "tRNA". From Rfam's summary of the family: Transfer RNA (tRNA) molecules are approximately 80 nucleotides in length. Their secondary structure includes four short double-helical elements and three loops (D, anti-codon, and T loops). Lineage: Eukaryota; Metazoa; Platyhelminthes; Trematoda; Plagiorchiida; Echinostomatidae. The record is from Rfam by way of RNAcentral.